This 255-nucleotide ribosomal RNA is filed under the name uncultured bacterium. RNAcentral's name for it is "partial 16S ribosomal RNA". It matches the Rfam family "Bacterial small subunit ribosomal RNA", at positions 524 to 777 of the family's 1533-position model. The record is from RNAcentral.
UACGUAGGGGGCAAGCGUUGUCCGGAUUUAUUGGGCGUAAAGAGCGUGUAGGCGGUUUGGUAGGUCCGUUGUGAAAACUCGAGGCUCAACCUCGAGACGCCGAUGGAAACCAUCAGACUAGAGUCCGGAAGAGGAGAGUGGAAUUCCGUGGUGUAGCGGUGAAAUGCGCAGAUAUCAGGAGGAACACCUGUGGCGAAAGCGGCGCACUGGACCACAACUGACGCUGAGGCGCGAAAGCGUGGGGAGCGAACAGGA